Rattus norvegicus (Norway rat) is the source of this 388-nucleotide non-coding RNA. The record is from RefSeq and is a predicted model, not a curated record. NCBI's taxonomy places the organism in Eukaryota, Metazoa, Chordata, Mammalia, Rodentia, Muridae.
GCUGGACCAUUUACAACGACCCAUGGCCCAAGAACACAGCCCAAACCACACGGAGAUGGUUUUAUGAAGUUCUUAAAGUUACAGAACGAUGAGUCAUAAAUCAAGGUGUUUUCCAAAUACUUCGUUGGGGAUCUCAGUGUGCUUCAUGAACAAACGGGUCAGGUACCAGGGAAAGAGAAUGGAGGUCCAAUGGAACACCUCACCCAAUCCCGUAGCCUCAGAGAAAUGAUGAGCGCUUAUCAGAAGUAGCCACUGCUGGGCUGAUCCAUGUGAAAACCUACAAUGGAAAGAUUCCCACCUGCCUAUACCUGGAUUACUUCUAUCAAUAUUGCUAAUCUUUCCCACAAUCAAGGGCUUGGGCACACAAUAAAUUAUCUUAUAAACACAA